Molecule: ribosomal RNA, 506 nt
Filed under: uncultured bacterium
Lineage: Bacteria
Description: partial 16S ribosomal RNA
Rfam family: Bacterial small subunit ribosomal RNA
Source: RNAcentral
AUUGAACGCUGGCGGUAGGCCUAACACAUGCAAGUCGAACGGCAGCACAGGAGAGCUUGCUCUCUGGGUGGCGAGUGGCGGACGGGUGAGGAAUACACCGGAAUCUACUCUGUCGUGGGGGAUAACGUAGGGAAACUUACGCUAAUACCGCAUACGACCUACGGGUGAAAGCAGGGGAUCUUCGGACCUUGCGCGAUUGAAUGAGCCGAUGUCGGAUUAGCUAGUUGGCGGGGUAAAGGCCCACCAAGGCGACGAUCCGUAGCUGGUCUGAGAGGAUGAUCAGCCACACUGGAACUGUGACACGGUCCAGACUCCUACGGGAGGCAGCAGUGGGGAAUAUUGGACAAUGGGCGCAAGCCUGAUCCAGCCAUACCGCGUGGGUGAAGAAGGCCUUCGGGUUGUAAAGCCCUUUUGUUGGGAAAGAAAUCCAGCUGGCUAAUACCCGGUUGGGAUGACGGUACCCAAAGAAUAAGCACCGGCUAACUUCGUGCCAGCCGCCGCGGUAA